CAUUUCGAGAAAUUUGGGGAUUGCUGUUUUGCGGUUCUUACGGAUUGCACUACGGUGAAAACCAAUUUAAUCGCAGUGGCUUGAACCGGGCAAAAGUCGUAACAAGGUGGCUGUAGGUGAACCUGCUGCCGGAUCAUUAUCGAUCAUACUAGCCAACUGUUUUUAACUGUUGGGGGAGUGAUUUACUUUUGGCUGGAAUCCUCCGUCGUUGUUGGGCACUGCGCUGUGUCAACAGCCAAAACAGUUCAGGAGGGUGCCAUGAGAGUGUGCACGUGCUAUUUGUGUGAUGUCCCCACCAUUUAGCUGGCUUAUUCCUGGGCGAAAAAACGGCUCCGUUGGUUUCUAAGUGUCUUUGAGCAGUUGUUGCCGGCCUUUUUUCCAGUUGUCCAACUAGACUGUGUAUGGAUGUGUGGAUUAAAUGGUCAGUUGGCUACGUCCGUGGCUGCGAUGACAAGAGAUGUUACGUGGACUUCGUGAUCGCGAGAAUCAAUGAGCACCGGCCUUGGUGCCGCCAACAAAAACCUCCAUUCUUACAAUUUUUUAUAUGCUGGAAAAAUUUCUAGCCUUAUCGGUGGAUCACUUGGUUUGUGGGUCGAUGAAGAACGCAGCCAACUGCGAUAAGUAGUGUGAACUGCAGAUAUUUUGAACACUGAACCUUCGAAUGCACAUUGCGCCAUUGGAUUUUUAUCUUUUGGCACAUCUGGCUCAGGGUCGUAAAUACAAAACAAGAGCUGUUGACUUGUUGUAUGGUGCUUAGAUCACGGCCUUGUCUGUCCGGUGUCUGCUUUUUGCGCCGGCUGUCCGUGUUUUUGCAGCAGUGAAUACUGGCUGCUUGCUUCUUGGGCAAAUGCGCCUGGAUGGUUGUUGCCUUUGUCUUGUUUAGGCGCUACCAGGUGGAAUUGCUCGGUUGCACUGGCGGUUUAUGUUCGCUUUUCCGACCUGAGCUCAGUUGUGACUACCUGCUGAACUUAAGCAUAUCAGUAAGCA
Molecule: ribosomal RNA, 987 nt
Filed under: Zeatylenchus pittosporum
Lineage: Eukaryota; Metazoa; Nematoda; Chromadorea; Rhabditida; Anguinidae
Description: eukaryotic LSU rRNA
Rfam family: 5.8S ribosomal RNA (bases 561-714)
Source: RNAcentral